This 575-nucleotide ribosomal RNA is filed under the name uncultured rumen bacterium. RNAcentral's name for it is "bacterial SSU rRNA". It matches the Rfam family "Bacterial small subunit ribosomal RNA", at positions 347 to 916 of the family's 1533-position model. The record is from RNAcentral.
GGCAGCAGCUAAGAAUAUUCCGCAAUGGACGAAAGUCUGACGGAGCGACGCCGCGUGGAUGAUGAAGGCCGGAAGGUUGUAAAAGCCUUUUAUGACUGAGGAAUAAGUGAAGUGAGAGAAACGCUUCAUGGUGACUGUAGGUCAUGAAUAAGCAACGGCUAAUUACGUGCCAGCAGCCGCGGUAACACGUAAGUUGCGAGCGUUGUUCGGAAUUAUUGGGCGUAAAGGGUAUGUAGGCGGUUCUGCAAGUCUGGUGUGAAAUGCCGGGGCUCAACCCCGGAACUGCGUUGGAAACUGCAGGACUUGAAUCGCUGAGGGGCAGCCAGAAUUCCAGGUGUAGGGGUGAAAUCUGUAGAUAUCUGGAAGAAUACCAAUGGCGAAGGCAGGCUGCCAGCAGAUGAUUGACGCUGAGGUACGAAGGUGCGGGGAGCAAACAGGAUUAGAUACCCUGGUAGUCCGCACAGUCAACUAUGUACACUGGGUGUCCGGCCAUGAGGCUGGGUGCCGAAGCAAACGCGAUAAGUGUACCGCCUGGGGAGUAUGCCCGCAAGGGUGAAACUCAAAGGAAUUGACGG